RNAcentral lists this ribosomal RNA (69 nucleotides) under Mediterraneibacter gnavus. RNAcentral describes it as "[Ruminococcus] gnavus partial 23S ribosomal RNA". The record is from RNAcentral. Lineage: Bacteria; Bacillati; Bacillota; Clostridia; Lachnospirales; Lachnospiraceae.
UAGGGCAGAGGUGGAAGUGCGGUAACGCAUGGAGCUGACUGUUACUAAUAGGUCGAGGGCAUAACCAAG